ACAUGCAAGUCGAGCGGCAGCACGGGUACUUGUACCUGGUGGCGAGCGGCGGACGGGUGAGUAAUGCCUAGGAAUCUGCCUGGUAGUGGGGGAUAACGUUCGGAAACGAACGCUAAUACCGCAUACGUCCUACGGGAGAAAGCAGGGGACCUUCGGGCCUUGCGCUAUCAGAUGAGCCUAGGUCGGAUUAGCUAGUUGGUGAGGUAAUGGCUCACCAAGGCGACGAUCCGUAACUGGUCUGAGAGGAUGAUCAGUCACACUGGAACUGAGACACGGUCCAGACUCCUACGGGAGGCAGCAGUGGGGAAUAUUGGACAAUGGGCGAAAGCCUGAUCCAGCCAUGCCGCGUGUGUGAAGAAGGUCUUCGGAUUGUAAAGCACUUUAAGUUGGGAGGAAGGGCAGUUACCUAAUACGUAAUUGUUUUGACGUUACCGACAGAAUAAGCACCGGCUAACUCUGUGCCAGCAGCCGCGGUAAUACAGAGGGUGCAAGCGUUAAUCG
RNAcentral lists this ribosomal RNA (501 nucleotides) under soil bacterium S102M1. RNAcentral describes it as "bacterial SSU rRNA". It matches the Rfam family "Bacterial small subunit ribosomal RNA", at positions 53 to 547 of the family's 1533-position model. The record is from RNAcentral.